CCUACGGGAGGCAGCAGUGGGGAAUUUUCCGCAAUGGGCGCAAGCCUGACGGAGCAAUACCGCGUGAGGGAAGAAGGCUCUUGGGUCGUAAACCUCUUUUGUUUGGGAAGAAACCUGACGGUACCAAACGAAUAAGCCUCGGCUAACUCCGUGCCAGCAGCCGCGGUAAGACGGAGGAGGCAAGUGUUAUCCGGAAUUAUUGGGCGUAAAGCGUCCGCAGGUGGUUUUACAAGUCUGUUGUUAAAGCGCGAGGCUCAACCUUGUAUAGGCAAUGGAAACUGUAAGACUAGAGUGCGGUAGGGGUAGAGGGAAUUCCCGGUGUAGCGGUGAAAUGCGUAGGUAUCGGGAAGAACACCAGUGGCGAAGGCGCUCUACUGGGCCUGCACUGACACUGAGGGACGAAAGCUAGGGGAGCGAAAGGGAUUAGAUACCCCUGUAGUCCUAGCCGUAAACGAUGGACACUAGGUGUUGCGCGUAUCGACCCGUGCAGUGCCGUAGCUAACGCGUUAAAGUGUCCCGCCUGGGGAGUACGCUCGCAAGAGUGAAACCUUAAAGGAAUUGAACGG
RNAcentral lists this ribosomal RNA (566 nucleotides) under uncultured bacterium. RNAcentral's name for it is "bacterial SSU rRNA". It matches the Rfam family "Bacterial small subunit ribosomal RNA", at positions 338 to 917 of the family's 1533-position model. The record is from RNAcentral.